GUCUAUAUAGAUUAUUUUUAAAUCGUGAUGCUGUUAACUUCAGGAAAUGGUUGUAUUCCAUUAUAGUCG
Molecule: transfer RNA, 69 nt
Filed under: Taenia solium (pork tapeworm)
Lineage: Eukaryota; Metazoa; Platyhelminthes; Cestoda; Cyclophyllidea; Taeniidae
Description: tRNA-Asn
Source: RNAcentral